UUUCGGGGGUGGACUUCUGGAUCGCGUAGCAGCGUUUGCGUCGGUAUCUGGGCUUGUAGCUCAGUUGGUUAGAGCACACGCUUGAUAAGCGGGGGGUCGGAGGUUCAAGUCCUCCCAGGCCCACCAUGUUACAUGAUAAGGGGCCGUAGUUCAGCUGGGAGAGCACCUGCUUUGCAAGCAGGGGGUCGUCGGUUCGAUCCCGUCCGGCUCCACCAUCGUGUUUUGGUGUAGAGACGGAUAUUGGCAAUCAACGAAAGAAAGAAACAAGUUUGCGGACUUUUAUGAAAGUCUGCCUGUUCUGUAUGAAAUCGUGAAGAGAAGAUGUAAUCGGAUCAACUAUCCAGUUGAUGUCGCAAGAGCUUGCUCAAGCCUUGCAUUAUGAUUGAUGUGUUUAACCGCCAUCACCGAUUGUAUCUCGAGAAGCUGGUCUUUCUGCUGAUACUGUUGAAGCUUGAAUGAGUUUUGA
This 466-nucleotide transfer RNA is filed under the name Brucella intermedia. RNAcentral describes it as "Ochrobactrum intermedium partial contains 16S rRNA, ITS1, tRNA-Ile, tRNA-Ala and 23S rRNA". The stretch from base 50 to 123 matches the Rfam family "tRNA". Lineage: Bacteria; Pseudomonadati; Pseudomonadota; Alphaproteobacteria; Hyphomicrobiales; Brucellaceae. The record is from RNAcentral.